Molecule: ribosomal RNA, 253 nt
Filed under: uncultured bacterium
Lineage: Bacteria
Description: partial 16S ribosomal RNA
Rfam family: Bacterial small subunit ribosomal RNA
Source: RNAcentral
UACGGAGGGUGCAAGCGUUAAUCGGAAUUACUGGGCGUAAAGCGUGCGCAGGCGGCUUUGCAAGUCAGAUGUGAAAUCCCCGGGCUCAACCUGGGAACUGCAUUUGUGACUGCAUGGCUGGAGUGCGGCAGAGGGGGAUGGAAUUCCGCGUGUAGCAGUGAAAUGCGUAGAUAUGCGGAGGAACACCGAUGGCGAAGGCAAUCCCCUGGGCCUGCACUGACGCUCAUGCACGAAAGCGUGGGGAGCAAACAGG